AGGGAMUUGAACGCAUAUUGCGCCUUUGGGAUAUCCCCGAAGGCACGCCUGCUUCAGUGUCUAUG
Molecule: ribosomal RNA, 65 nt
Filed under: Spiniferodinium limneticum
Lineage: Eukaryota; Dinophyceae; Phytodiniales; Phytodiniaceae
Description: Gymnodinium limneticum partial 5.8S ribosomal RNA
Source: RNAcentral